RNAcentral lists this ribosomal RNA (224 nucleotides) under uncultured bacterium. Its description in RNAcentral is "partial 16S ribosomal RNA". It matches the Rfam family "Bacterial small subunit ribosomal RNA", at positions 328 to 539 of the family's 1533-position model. The record is from RNAcentral.
ACGCUCGACACCUACGGGAGGCAGCAGUUAGGAAUAUUCGUCAAUGGGGGAAACCCUGAACGAGCAAUGCCGCGUGAGUGAUGAAGGCCCUAUGGGUUGUAAAACUCUGUUGUUGAGAAAGAAUUGUAAGAUUAGGAAAUGAGUCUUACUUGACGGUACUCUUCAAGAAAGCCACGGCUAACUACGUGCCUGCAGCCGCGGUUAANCUGAGCGGCUGGCAAGGC